Molecule: transfer RNA, 65 nt
Filed under: Cryptocephalus lividimanus
Lineage: Eukaryota; Metazoa; Arthropoda; Insecta; Coleoptera; Chrysomelidae
Also listed under: 1 other name
Description: tRNA-Cys
Rfam family: tRNA
About the family: Transfer RNA (tRNA) molecules are approximately 80 nucleotides in length. Their secondary structure includes four short double-helical elements and three loops (D, anti-codon, and T loops).
Source: RNAcentral
GGCCUUAUAGUUAAUUUUAAUAUUAGAUUGCAAAUCUAAAGAUGUAAGUAAUUUUUCUAAGGCUU